GACGAACGCUGGCGGCGUGCUUAACACAUGCAAGUCGAACGGAAAGGCCCUGCUUUUGUGGGGUGCUCGAGUGGCGAACGGGUGAGUAACACGUGAGUAACCUGCCCUUGACUUUGGGAUAACUUCAGGAAACUGGGGCUAAUACCGGAUAGGAGCUCCUGCUGCAUGGUGGGGGUUGGAAAGUUUCGGCGGUUGGGGAUGGACUCGCGGCUUAUCAGCUUGUUGGUGGGGUAGUGGCUUACCAAGGCUUUGACGGGUAGCCGGCCUGAGAGGGUGACCGGCCACAUUGGGACUGAGAUACGGCCCAGACUCCUACGGGAGGCAGCAGUGGGGAAUAUUGCACAAUGGGCGGAAGCCUGAUGCAGCAACGCCGCGUGCGGGAUGACGGCCUUCGGGUUGUAAACCGCUUUCGCCUGUGACGAAGCGUGAGUGACGGUAAUGGGUAAAGAAGCACCGGCUAACUACGUGCCAGCAGCCGCGGUGAUACGUAGGGUGCGAGCGUUGUCCGGAUUUAUUGGGCGUAAAGGGCUCGUAGGUGGUUGAUCGCGUCGGAAGUGUAAUCUUGGGGCUUAACCCUGAGCGUGCUUUCGAUACGGGUUGACUUGAGGAAGGUAGGGGAGAAUGGAAUUCCUGGUGGAGCGGUGGAAUGCGCAGAUAUCAGGAGGAACACCAGUGGCGAAGGCGGUUCUCUGGGCCUUUCCUGACGCUGAGGAGCGAAAGCGUGGGGAGCGAACAGGCUUAGAUACCCUGGUAGUCCACGCUGUAAACGGUGGGUACUAGGUGUGGGUCCAUUCCACGGGUUCCGUGCCGUAGCUAACGCUUUAAGUACCCCGCCUGGGGAGUACGGCCGCAAGGCUAAAACUCAAAGGAAUUGACGGGGCCCCGCACAAGCGGCGGAGCAUGCGGAUUAAUUCGAUGCAACGCGUAGAACCUUACCUGGGUUUGACAUGGAUCGGGAGCGCUCAGAGAUGGGUGUGCCUCUUUUGGGGUCAGUUCACAGGUGGUGCAUGGCUGUCGUCAGCUCGUGUCGUGAGAUGUUGGGUUAAGUCCCGCAACGAGCGCAACCCUUGUUCACUGUUGCCAGCACGUUAUGGUGGGGACUCAGUGGAGACCGCCGGGGUCAACUCGGAGGAAGGUGGGGAUGACGUCAAGUCAUCAUGCCCCUUAUGUCCAGGGCUUCACGCAUGCUACAAUGGCUGGUACAGAGAGUGGCGAGCCUGUGAGGGUGAGCGAAUCUCGGAAAGCCGGUCUCAGUUCGGAUUGGGGUCUGCAACUCGACCUCAUGAAGUCGGAGUCGCUAGUAAUCGCAGAUCAGCAACGCUGCGGUGAAUACGUUCCCGGGGCUUGUACACACCGCCCGUCAAGUCAUGAAAGUUGGUAACACCCGAAGCCGGUGGCCUAACCGUUGUGGGGGAGCCGUCGAAGGUGGGACUGGUGAUUAGGACU
RNAcentral lists this ribosomal RNA (1446 nucleotides) under uncultured bacterium. RNAcentral's name for it is "bacterial SSU rRNA". It matches the Rfam family "Bacterial small subunit ribosomal RNA". The record is from RNAcentral.